Molecule: ribosomal RNA, 484 nt
Filed under: uncultured bacterium
Lineage: Bacteria
Description: partial 16S ribosomal RNA
Rfam family: Bacterial small subunit ribosomal RNA
Source: RNAcentral
AUUGAACGCUGGCGGCAGGCCUAACACAUGCCAGUCGAGCGGAUGAAGGGAGCUUGCUCCUGGAUUCAGCGGCGGACGGGUGAGUAAUGCCUAGGAAUCUGCCUGGUAGUGGGGGAUAACGUCCGGAAACGGGCGCUAAUACCGCAUACGUUCUGAGGGAGAAAGUGGGGGAUCUUCGGACCUCACGCUAUCAGAUGAGCCUAGGUCGGAUUAGCUAGUUGGUGGGGUAAAGGCCUACCAAGGCGACGAUCCGUAACUGGUCUGAGAGGAUGAUCAGUCACACUGGAACUGAGACACGGUCCAGACUCCUACGGGAGGCAGCAGUAGGGAAUCUUGGACAAUGGGCGAAAGCCUGAUCCAGCCAUGCCGCGUGUGUGAAGAAGGUCUUCGGAUUGUAAAGCACUUUAAGUUGGGAAGAAGGGCAGUAAGUUAAUACCUUGCUGUUUUGACGUUACCAACAGAAUAAGCACCGGCUAACUUCGUG